RNAcentral lists this ribosomal RNA (253 nucleotides) under uncultured bacterium. RNAcentral describes it as "partial 16S ribosomal RNA". It matches the Rfam family "Bacterial small subunit ribosomal RNA", at positions 524 to 776 of the family's 1533-position model. The record is from RNAcentral.
UACAGAGGGGGCAAGCGUUGUUCGGAAUUACUGGGCGUAAAGGGCGCGUAGGCGGCCUGUUAAGUCGAACGUGAAAUCCCCGGGCUCAACCCGGGAACUGCGUCCGAUACUGGCAGGCUUGAAUCCGGGAGAGGGAUGCGGAAUUCCAGGUGUAGCGGUGAAAUGCGUAGAUAUCUGGAGGAACACCGGUGGCGAAGGCGGUUAGCUGGGCAGUUGCUGACACUGAGGCGCGACAGCGUGGGGAGCAAACAGG